Molecule: ribosomal RNA, 465 nt
Filed under: uncultured bacterium
Lineage: Bacteria
Description: partial 16S ribosomal RNA
Rfam family: Bacterial small subunit ribosomal RNA
Source: RNAcentral
GACGAACGCUGGCGGCGUGCUUAACACAUGCAAGUCGAACGGAAAGGCACCUUUGGGGGUCCUCGAGUGGCGAACGGGUGAGUAACACGUGAGUAACCUGCCCUUGACUUCGGGAUAACUUCAGGAAACUGGGGCUAAUACCGGAUAGGAAUCCUUGCUGCAUGGUGGGGGUUGGAAAGCUUCGGCGGUUUUGGAUGGACUCGCGGCUUAUCAGCUUGUUGGUGGGGUAGUGGCUUACCAAGGCUUUGACGGGUAGCCGGCCUGAGAGGGCGACCGGCCACAUUGGGACUGAGAUACGGCCCAGACUCCUACGGGAGGCAGCAGUGGGGAAUAUUGCACAAUGGGCGGAAGCCUGAUGCAGCAACGCCGCGUGCGGGAUGACGGCCUUCGGGUUGUAAACCGCUUUCAGCAGGGGCGAAGCUUGUGGUGACGGUACCUGCAGAAGAAGCACCGGCUAACUACGUG